AGGGAUAUGCUCUGCUGUCAGGCUGCUGAAUUGGGGUGUGCCUCCUAGUGGACUCUGAAGGGCCAGCCUCUAGAUCUGAAAUAAAAUGGAUGUCUGGAGAUGCUGCCCUGAUGUCAUGGAGAGGAGAUGAAGGACCUUCUUCCUCAGCUCUGUCCUCAACUCUUUCUUCUGCACCCUUAAUCCAACCACCAUCAGUCCUAGUAAAUCUCAUGCGGUGCAAAGUAUGUUGGUUGAUGGUGUCAGAGUG
RNAcentral lists this long non-coding RNA (247 nucleotides) under Elaeis guineensis (African oil palm). Its description in RNAcentral is "long non-coding RNA (EGUI_LNC076501)". The record is from RNAcentral. Lineage: Eukaryota; Viridiplantae; Streptophyta; Magnoliopsida; Arecales; Arecaceae.